UGGCUGCGCUCUGUGCGUCCUGCUCCCUGCACAGACACAAAGACGAGAGAUCGAUCCAUCUUUUAACAGAAGUGAUAAAUAUCUGUGCCUGACCUGCACUCCCUCCUUGAUGCAUCGCUGCAGUCUGCUCGUCAUCUUUGUUUCUCGCUUAUUAUUCUCAGGAAGGUUUUGCAGAUCUGCCUCAGGUGCAUUUUUCAUUCUGCGUUUCAUUAUUUGCUCAGAUUAAUACAAGCGUGGUAUCAGCGGCAGCGGCGUGGUCGGCUAAGCUGUGUCUAAUAGGCUGGAGUCUAGACAUCCCCAUACCAAUUAUCCACUGUAAAUAGAAUCCACGCUUUGGCUCAAGGCUUUGUUUAUUCAAUUCCAUUCACUUCAUAUCAGCAGGAUUAUAAUUAAGGAAAAUAAACACCUGCUGGGAAGGUGAGGCCAUCAACAUGUGCCUUUCCUACAACAUGAAGGUGCAGCGGGUCAGCUGGGAUAAAAACACAGACACAUAUAUGAGACUGCCACAUUAAGAGACAAUAAGACUGACUGAAUAUGAAAGAGCGUGUGGUUAUUUCCUCACUGUGCCAAACGUUUCAGCAAACAGAUGUCCAACACAGAAAAUAUUACUCAAUAAUGAAUCUAUUUUCAUGCAAACAGACAGUCUGUCAGGAGGCGUCUCAUCCAGCAGAUGGAAAAGAUUUGGUUUUGGUGUUCCGCUCUGGGUGUAAUUGAGAAUACAUGUCUCAGCGUUUCAUCUCAAAUGGCCUCCAUAAAGACAUUGAUGAUGCAAAUGUUACCGUAUGGGUUCAGUUUCUACAGUGUCAUGUCUGAUUUGUGACCCGCAGGUUAUAUUGUCAGUGCAUUAGCGCUCAUCUGGCAGAAUGUAAGGUGUGUUUCUGAAUCUCUACACGUCUGGGAGC
Non-coding RNA from Xyrichtys novacula (pearly razorfish), 902 nucleotides. Lineage: Eukaryota; Metazoa; Chordata; Actinopteri; Labriformes; Labridae. The record is from the annotation of a GenBank genome assembly.